GAGUUUGAUCUUGGCUCAGAUUGAACGCUGGCGGCAUGCCUUACACAUGCAAGUCGAACGGCAGCACGGGAGCUUGCUCCUGGUGGCGAGUGGCGAACGGGUGAGUAAUGCAUCGGAACGUAUCCUGGAGUGGGGGAUAACGUAGCGAAAGUUACGCUAAUACCGCAUAUUCUGUGGGCAGGAAAGCGGGGGACCUUCGGGCCUCGCGCUCUUGGAGCGGCCGAUGUCGGAUUAGCUAGUUGGUGAGGUAAAGGCUCACCAAGGCGACGAUCCGUAGCAGGUCUGAGAGGAUGAUCUGCCACACUGGAACUGAGACACGGUCCAGACUCCUACGGGAGGCAGCAGUGGGGAAUUUUGGACAAUGGGGGCAACCCUGAUCCAGCCAUGCCGCGUGAGUGAAGAAGGCC
This 407-nucleotide ribosomal RNA is filed under the name bacterium enrichment culture clone ALO1_GLFRUDD03GDYVU. RNAcentral's name for it is "bacterial SSU rRNA". It matches the Rfam family "Bacterial small subunit ribosomal RNA", at positions 9 to 416 of the family's 1533-position model. The record is from RNAcentral.